Molecule: ribosomal RNA, 253 nt
Filed under: uncultured bacterium
Lineage: Bacteria
Description: partial 16S ribosomal RNA
Rfam family: Bacterial small subunit ribosomal RNA
Source: RNAcentral
AACGUAGGACGCAAGCGUUAUCCGGAGUUACUGGGCGUAAAGCGCGGGCAGGCGGUCUUGCCAGUCUGAUGUGAAAUCUCCUCGCUCAACGGGGAGCAGCCAUUGGAAACUACAAGACUGGAGUCUGGCAGAGGUAGGCGGAAUUCCGGGUGGAGUGGUGAAAUGCGUAGAGAUCCGGAGGAACACCAGAGGUGAAGGCGGCCUACUGGGCCAGUACUGACGCUGAGCCGCGAAAGCCAGGGGAGCGAACGGG